UAGGGAAUAUUGGUUAAUCUGCGAAAGCGGGAACCAGCAACGCCGCGUGCACGAUGAAGGCCUUCGGGUUGUAAAGUGCUUUUUGAGAGGAUGAGGAAGGACAGUACUCUUAGAAUAAGCUUCGGCUAACUACGUGCCAGCAGCCGCGGUAAAACGUAGGAAGCGAGCGUUAUCCGGAUUUACUGGGCGUAAAGCGUGGGCAGGCGGUUUGAUAAGUUGGAUGUGAAAGCUCCUGGCUUAACUGGGAGAGGUCGUUCAAAACUAUCAGACUAGAGAGUGGUAGAGUGAGGUGGAAUUCCGGGUGUAGUGGUGAAAUGCGUAGAUAUCCGGAGGAACACCAGUGGCGAAAGCGGCCUCCUGGCCCAUUUCUGACGCUCAGACACGAAAGCUAAGGUAGCAAACG
Molecule: ribosomal RNA, 403 nt
Filed under: uncultured prokaryote
Description: bacterial SSU rRNA
Rfam family: Bacterial small subunit ribosomal RNA
Source: RNAcentral